GAGAGGGGCAAGCAGGGAUGCAGGACCGCAUUCCAGCCCGGGGGAAGGGACGAGACCCAGGCAUGCGCACAAGGCGCCUCAGCUUCCAGACUAGGAUUCCCUUAAAGCCGUGCUCACUUCACGGGCAUUAUACAAGCUCAAGGGCGGGAGGGAGAGAGUUCCUUCUUUUUACGACACUUCCGCUUCCUUUUCUCUCCCAGUUUUCCAGGCUUGCUGCUUCCCGCCUCCUUUUCUCUGUGCUCUGCCUUCUGUGGCCUUUGCUCUGCCCCAGGAGGACAGCCUGGAGGAAGAGGGAAUGGCUUCUGCCCCGAAACCCGGGCCCGGGAAGGUGAGUGCAAGUUGCAGCUUUCCUGAAAUAGCAUCUCAGGCCAGAGCCCUUGGGGUAGGUUUCUUUGUCCUGUGCUGUAACACUAGAAAUCGUGGGCAUCAGAGAAUUAUAGCCAGAGACACCAAUGUAUCCUCUCCCCACACAAAAAAAGGCCUAAUUACUUUUACUUUAGAUUAAUGGAAAUGGAGAAUAAGGGAGCAAUCCUUGAAGGAUGGACAGGUUAAGUAAUUGGAGGGCAAGGUGUGGAAUGUCAGUAAAGUAGAAGAGGUAGGAGGGUUAGGAGAUGAGGUAGCACAAACGUGAGACCAAAGAUCAGAAGAAGAAUUUGUUACAGAAAGUGUAUGUUUAUGCAUGUUCGUGUAUAUCUAUAUAUAAAUGUGUCUGUGCUUAAUUAUAUCCUGGGCGGGAGAUAAAGAGGGAAAAAAAAACAAAAAGUGCACAGCAGAGAACAAAAGAAAACCAACAAGGAAGCAAACCAAAGAUGAACAGCAUUAUAUAGGCUUUCUUGAGAUGGAAAUUUGUUGCUAUAUAUUUUGAAUCAUCUUACAUUCUGCUGUGCACAUGACAUGCUUUUUUCCCCUUUGUAUUUAAGUUAAAAUAUUUAAGUUGGUAAUAUGUUCUUUUAUUUACAUUUAUGUUUCAGUAGUUAAAAAAAGGAAAUAAAUAAAUGGGAACACUUAACA
RNAcentral lists this long non-coding RNA (1011 nucleotides) under Phascolarctos cinereus (koala). RNAcentral's name for it is "lncRNA (ENSPCIG00000035548.1)". Lineage: Eukaryota; Metazoa; Chordata; Mammalia; Diprotodontia; Phascolarctidae. The record is from RNAcentral.